GUCGAGAAUCUUCCGCAAUGCGCGAAAGCGUGACGGAGCGACACCGCGUGAUGGAUGAAGUCCUUCGGGGCGUAAACAUCUUUUAUAAAGGAGGAAAUUUUUGACGUUACUUUAUGAAUAAGGGGCUCCCAAUCUCGUGCCAGCAGGAGCGGUAAUACGAGAGCCUCAAGCGUUAUCCGGAAUCAUUGGGCGUAAAGGGUGCGUAGGUGGUUUGAUUAGUCUCCCGUUAAAACUUCGAGCUUAACUCGAAAAGAGCGGGGGAAACGGUCAAACUAGAGUAUGUGAGAGGUGUGUGGAACUCAUGGUGUAGGGGUGAAAUCCGUUGAUAUCAUGGGGAACACCAAAAGCGAAGGCAGCACACUGGCACAUCACUGACACUGAGGCACGAAACCUAAGGUAGCGAAUGGGAUUAGAAACCCGGGUAGUCC
RNAcentral lists this ribosomal RNA (428 nucleotides) under uncultured bacterium. Its description in RNAcentral is "bacterial SSU rRNA". It matches the Rfam family "Bacterial small subunit ribosomal RNA", at positions 354 to 796 of the family's 1533-position model. The record is from RNAcentral.